GAUUAAAUUUUAUUUAUUGAUUUUAUUUAUUAAUUAUAUUAUUUAAUAAAAAUAAUUUUAUUUAUUUUAGUUUUAGUAUUUUUUAAAAAAAAUAAUUUUAAUAAUAGUUUAUUUGUAUUGUAAAAGAAUAUUGAAAUAAUUUGAAAAAUUUUUAUUUAUAAAGAAAAUUUAAUUUAUUGUACCUUGUGUAUCAGGGUUUAUUAAAUAAUAUAUUAUUAUAAUUAAUAUUUCUCGAAUUUUAAAGAUUUAAUUAUAUAUAAAAGUUAUUGUAGCAUAAUUAUUUUUCAUAUAUAAUUAGUAAUGAAAUGUUAAUCGUUUUAAAAUAUAUCUAGUUUUUUAAGAAAUAAAUUUAAUUUAUAUUUUUAAAUUAAAAAUUUUAUUUAUAUAAUAUUUUUAUUUUAAAAAAUAAAUAUUUUUAGGGAUUAGCUUAAAAAUAAAUUUUUAAAUUUAAAAUAAAAUUUUUUAAUAAAUGUAAUCUUAAAAAUAGUUAUCAUUAAUAAAUUUGUUAUAAUUUAUUUUAAAUUUUUUAUUAUUUAUUAUUAAAUUAAAUUAUUUAUUAAAAUAUAAAUUUUAAUUAUUAAAAUUUAUUAAUUAUGAUAAAAUUAGUAUAUAAAAUAUAUUUAAAUUAUUGAAAAAUGAAAGGUUUAAAUAAGGAAUUCGGCAAAAUAUAUAUUUACCUGUUUAUCAAAAACAUGUCUUUUUGAAUAUAAAUUUAAAGUCUAACCUGCCCACUGAUUAAUUAAAGGGCCGCAGUAUUUUGACUGUGCGAAGGUAGCAUAAUCAAUAGUCUUUUAAUUGAAGGCUUGUAUGAAUGGUUGAAUAAGAUAUAUACUGUCUUUUUUGAAUUUUUAUAGAAUUUUAUUUUUUAAUUAAAAAGUUAAAAUAAAAUUAAAGGACGAGAAGACCCUAUAGAUCUUUAUUUUUUUUUAUUAUUAAUUAAAAAGUAUAUAUAAAUUUAUAAUUUAAUAAAAAAUUUUAUUGGGGUGAUAUUAAAAUUUAAAUAACUUUUAUAAUAUUUUUACAUUAAUUUAUGAGUAAUUGGUCCAGUAUUAUUGAUUAAAAAAUUAAGUUACCUUAGGGAUAACAGCGUAAUUUUUUUUUAGAGUUCAUAUCGACAAAAAAGAUUGCGACCUCGAUGUUGGAUUAAGAAUUAUUUUUAGGUGUAGAAGUUUAAAGUUUAAGUCUGUUCGACUUUUAAAUUCUUACAUGAUCUGAGUUCAAACCGGUGUAAGCCAGGUUGGUUUCUAUCCUUAAUUAAAUUAUUAUAUUAUAGUACGAAAGGACCUAAUAUAAAAAAUAUAAAUUUUAAUAUUAUGAAUAUUAUUAAUAUUAAUUAAACUAUUUUGGCAGAUUAGUGCAA
RNAcentral lists this ribosomal RNA (1360 nucleotides) under Aedes busckii. Its description in RNAcentral is "16S ribosomal RNA". The record is from RNAcentral. Lineage: Eukaryota; Metazoa; Arthropoda; Insecta; Diptera; Culicidae.